Long non-coding RNA from Aquila chrysaetos chrysaetos, 2764 nucleotides. RefSeq lists it as uncharacterized. The transcript has 2 exons. Lineage: Eukaryota; Metazoa; Chordata; Aves; Accipitriformes; Accipitridae. The record is from RefSeq and is a predicted model, not a curated record.
AUUGAAGUAGUGGGUGGAAUGCAGUCUUUAAUUUCAUGGCUGAACUCUAAAAGCUCGGUAUCUCCUGCAGAAAUGGAGGCUACAGUUGCAAUAAGAACAUUGGGACCUCCAGUUGGUUGCACCAUUCCAGGACAUAAAACAAUUUCUCAACUCAGAGCACAUUUUGUCCAAGGACAGCGUGAAUUAAGUGGGACUCCGAUUACAGAUCCUAAGAAUGCUGCACCUAAAUGACCUUGUUCACCGACCACUGAAGGACCUCAUUCACCUACAUCAGAAGAAUGCCCCAAAAAACCAGUAGACAGAGAAAAGUUAACUGGCCAGGAUUCAGCAUUCAAAGGCGGUGGCAAUCCAGAAGAUGUCAGCAGCAGAUCUACAGACAAUGUAAUUAGGAAGGGGUUUUACUCAGUGGACUAACUGAAAAGCUGAACGGACUGUUCUAGUGCCUAGACUACCUCACAUCAAUACUCUAUGCGUUUAUUGAUGUAAACAAAAAUAUGCUUUUUAGUUUAACUUUUUUCAGUCCUCAUUUCCCAAAUAUAUUCUUGUAAGAGUUAUCCUUAUUAGUCUUUUUAAAAGUCUUAAUCUGUCACUAGCUGAAACAGCUUUGGAAAAGGCCACAAAAACCAAGCUGCCCUGUGACUUGGAUUCAGAAUGUAUGUAAACAGGUUAACUAGUUGCCGCAACCACGUUGUGGUUUCAAGUGUGUAUGAACGUGCUUGUAUUCAUUUGUGCUUUCCUGGUGCAUGUGCAUAUAUUGUUCUUCCCUGAAACUAUUUUCCCGUUGAGCACAUACACUCCUGUGCAUCUAUCACAAUGGUGCUCAGCUUCCUCAGCUAGUAGCUUUCCACUGCCUGACACAGCCAUGCACUAUCCAAGUAUUGCCUCCCAUGGAGGUCCAUAAAUAAUUUAAAUAUUGAAGAAACUGCAGCAGAGGAUGCUACCAAGGUAUGGAGAUGAUAGACAUGUCCCAUGCCAUUGUAUCUGAUUUUUGUCUUAACACUGCUGCAGCAUGAGCCUGGAGGGGUUUCUUUGUUGUCACUGGGUAGUAAAGCUAAACUCAGAACACACAGCUGAAGAUGUAACUUAAACAUUGCAAUAGCCAAGGCUGUUGUGACACUGCUACCCACUUGAAAGGUACAGCCUUGAGCUGUUCUACAUGGUUACAUGAAAACUGAAGGUCCGGUUCUGUAAACUGAUAACACUGCUUAACCCAGUUAAGUGCGUUAGGGUUUUUUGAGGGGUGGGGAGAAAUUCUGAUCAUAUGAAACAAAUGUUAUGCUCUCUGUCUAUUGUAAUUUCUUUAUAACUUGGUGUUUUUGUAAAUGAAGUUGUAUGUUUUUUCCAGAGUAUUUUCAUAUGUACUGUAAAAUGCUGUCUUCCAAAGAGAAAUUUAAAAUCUUGAGUCUUUUUUUUUUUUUUAAUGCACGUGGGAUCUGCUUAAAAACCCCAAACAACUAGACCAAACGUAAGGGGGGGGGGGGCAGGGCCACAAAAAAAUAUCUUCUACAAAAUGAUAAUGUCAUGGUAGAGUAAAUUUGAGGAGAUUAGGAACACCGUUUUCCUGCUUCCAGUGUUUCCAGGUUUUGAAUUAACACCCUUUGAAUAGUGCAGCUUGCAAACUGCGUUGACAGCUGAAGUCCCAGUUUGCUGUGCGGACAACAGAUACCCCUGACUUCUUUUAAAAUUAGUUGCUUGGCUUAAAGAGCAAUUCUGAGCUCUGAUCAUCUUAAGCAUCCACCUCAAACCCUAGUGACAAGACCGAAGGGGCAUGUAGCUAACUUGCACGGUCUUCAUUCUCAAGCAUUCCCCCUACUGCUAGUAUUCCAAAAUUGUGGAGAAAGCAUGACUAUGACAAAAUACUUACUUUUUUUUCCUUAUUACCUCUGGUUUCCAGCUUGCUUCAAGUGCAAUUCAUCUCUUAGAAAAUUUGCCUUAGUGGGUUUGAGAGGUCUUAUUCUUCCUUCUCUACUCCAACCCCCCCAAAACUUAAAGAGUGCAAGGCUUAGGUUUCCUCACAGGUUAAAAUUAGGAAACAGAACCCCUGUUACUUAAGUGGCUUUUAGCAGAGCUCCACCUUGAGUUUAUAAAAUGGUUACCUUGGUUUUGUGACCUGUGUUAAAAAUCAUGGUAUUUAAAUACUGUCAAGCCUGUGUACUAGCUACAGUAUGUAUACAACUUCAGCACCUGUGUAAAUAAAAAUCCAUCAUGAAUUUGAAGGAAUUAAAGCUGAAGUAGGUGAUAAGAUAAGCAGCAAAGCAAAUAUGAAAAGUGUUUUUUAAUAGUCUACAACCCUGUAAUAUUACCAUGCUUUUAAACCACUUCUUCCACUUGAGUAUUCCAAGACUGUUAAAGGCUGUUUUGCCCUUAACCUCUAGGUCAGCACAUGCAUUUAUGCAACUAGUCUCAAACUAACCUAGCUAAUUGCUAUCAAAGUAUAUGCCUUUACACGGAUUUUUUUUUUUAACUCUUGCUUUGCAGAAUUAUCUUGUAAUUGCUCUUACUCCCCCCCCCCCCCCCCCCACACACACACUCUUAAGGUGUUAAGAAGUUUAGGAAGAAGUUAGGUUACUACUUUCCCAGACUUGAUCCAGCAUAAGUGAGAUUACACGCUUCACCUUAAUAUACCCUGACUCAACGCUUGGCCCAGUGCAGAGUGACGUCACUGUUCUGGAGUUUCCCUGGCUAUUGCAGAAGUUCGAUACUGCCCCAGGACUAUGCAGAUUAGAUUACAGCUGGUUUAAAUAAAGUUCAAACUGCAACAUUC